RNAcentral lists this transfer RNA (78 nucleotides) under Paenibacillus sp. AD87. Its description in RNAcentral is "tRNA-Glu". Lineage: Bacteria; Bacillati; Bacillota; Bacilli; Caryophanales; Paenibacillaceae. The record is from RNAcentral.
AUCCGGUGAUAGCAUAUGCUUCCGAUGUAAGCUUUCUUUCAGAAAGCUUUAAGGUGAACGCUUCGCUUCUCCAGAUUC